Molecule: long non-coding RNA, 869 nt
Filed under: Anser brachyrhynchus (Pink-footed goose)
Lineage: Eukaryota; Metazoa; Chordata; Aves; Anseriformes; Anatidae
Description: lncRNA (ENSABRG00000018155.1)
Source: RNAcentral
UCUUUGCUGAAGGCUCCACAACGCAGAUUCAUUUGUCUUUUUAGGGAUUGACGCAACUGCAAUUUAAAUGUGGGUGGCUGCACAUCCAUAAUUGCGCUGUGUGACAUGGGAAUGUAUGGCCAUACCAGGUGGAGAAGAGGGGAUGAACGCCAUCUGCUUACUGUACCCCAGAAACACAGCCUCUUCUGCUUACCGCCUUGGUGGGCCAAGGAGAAGCAGCCCGAGGACUCUUCUGCCUUAUGGAGCUCUGCUGGUUUCCACGUGGCUUUGGAUAGAUGUUGCCAGAUCCGUCCCGCUGCCUGACCACCCCCUGCUGUCCAGGAUCUCGGCUCAGCAGAAGUGGAAGGAGGGAAGCCUACAUUCUGGAAUUGAUACAUGUUCACAGAGGAAAUCAGAAUGUUAUCUGCAGUGUCAAAUUGCUAUUAAUCCAAGAAGAAAAAACCUGCUUGCAACCUUUCAUGAGAAGAUUGGUGGUAGGUGUUCAUCGUCUCGGGAGCACGUGUUUUAGCACAGCUGUUCUUCUCAUGCACGCACCUUGAUGUUCGCCCGGUGCAAAAUGUUUAAUGUUGCUUUUGCUUGAAUUCUUUGUCUGGUGUGUGGCUGUUCUUGGGAGCAUGUCCAAGGCAAACUAAAUGCCGAGACCGCACAUAGUUGAUGGAACAUGCCAUCAUUACACCACGGUGCAAACCAUCUUGUACUGUAACUGGUGGCCUCCUCUGGCAAGGUAAGGAACGUAGAGGAACAAACGUAAACCUCUUGCUGCUUCUUCUGAAAGCUUUUAAAUGUAAAGCAUGCUGGGUUUAUUAAGCAGAUCUAUAGAUUUUUUAAUCUGUUAGAGGAAGGGUGCCUACAGGUGUGGCUAACUUUCU